AGGACUAACGCUGGCGGCGUGCCUAACACAUGCAAGUCGAGCGGGGUAGCAAUACCCAGCGGCAGACGGGUGAGUAACGCGUGGUCAACCUUCCGUUGAAUGGGGGAUAACUAGCCGAAAGGUUAGCUAAUACCGCAUACGAUCUUUUGAAGGCAUCUUUAAAAGAUGAAAGGAGCAAUUCGUUCAACGACGGGACCGCGUCCCAUUAGCUAGAUGGUGGGGUAAUGGCCUACCAUGGCAACGAUGGGUAGCUGGUUUGAGAGAGCGACCAGCCACACUGGGACUGAGAAACGGCCCAGACUCCUACGGGAGGCAGCAGUGAGGAAUUUUCCGCAAUGGGCGAAAGCCUGACGGAGCGACGCCGCGUGUGGGAAGAAGGCCUUCGGGUCGUAAACCACUGUCGAAGGGGACGAUAAUGACGGUACCCUUGGAGGAAGCCCCGGCUAACUACGUCGCCAGCAGCCGC
RNAcentral lists this ribosomal RNA (466 nucleotides) under uncultured bacterium. RNAcentral describes it as "SSU rRNA". It matches the Rfam family "Bacterial small subunit ribosomal RNA", at positions 26 to 518 of the family's 1533-position model. The record is from RNAcentral.